AACGAACGCUGGCGGCAUGCCUAACACAUGCAAGUCGAACGAGACCUUCGGGUCUAGUGGCGCACGGGUGCGUAACGCGUCGGAACCUGCCCUUAGGUUCGGAAUAACUCCCCGAAAGGGGUGCUAAUACCGGAUAAUGUCUUCGGACCAAAGAUUUAUCGCCUUUGGAUGGGCCCGCGUUGGAUUAGCUAGUUGGUAGGGUAAAAGCCUACCAAGGCGACGAUCCAUAGCUGGUCUGAGAGGAUGGUCAGCCACACUGGGACUGAGACACGGCCCAGACUCCUACGGGAGGCAGCAGUGGGGAAUAUUGGAAAAUGGGCGAAAGCCUGAUCCAGCAAUGCCGCGUGAGUGAUGAAGGCCGUAGGGUUGUAAAGCUCUUUUACCCGGGAUGAUAAUGACAGUACCGGGAGAAUAAGCUCCGGCUAACUCCGUG
This 433-nucleotide ribosomal RNA is filed under the name uncultured bacterium. Its description in RNAcentral is "partial 16S ribosomal RNA". It matches the Rfam family "Bacterial small subunit ribosomal RNA", at positions 29 to 507 of the family's 1533-position model. The record is from RNAcentral.